UACGGGGGGGGCAAGCGUUGUUCGGAAUUACUGGGCGUAAAGGGCUCGUAGGCGGCCAACUAAGUCGGAUGUGAAAUCCCCAGGCUCAACCUGGGAACUGCAUCCGAUACUGGAUGGCUUGAAUUCGGGAGAGGGAUGCAGAAUUCCAGGUGUAGCGGUGAAAUGCGUAGAUAUCUGGAGGAAUACCGGUGGCGAAGGCGGCAUCCUGGACCGACAUUGACGCUGAGGAGCGAAAGCCAGGGGAGCAAACGGG
RNAcentral lists this ribosomal RNA (253 nucleotides) under uncultured bacterium. Its description in RNAcentral is "partial 16S ribosomal RNA". It matches the Rfam family "Bacterial small subunit ribosomal RNA", at positions 524 to 776 of the family's 1533-position model. The record is from RNAcentral.